This 447-nucleotide ribosomal RNA is filed under the name uncultured bacterium. RNAcentral describes it as "bacterial SSU rRNA". It matches the Rfam family "Bacterial small subunit ribosomal RNA", at positions 355 to 825 of the family's 1533-position model. The record is from RNAcentral.
UGGGGAAUUUUUCGCAAUGGGCGCAAGCCUGACGAAGCAACGCCGCGUGAGUGACGAAGGUCUUCGGAUUGUAAAGCUCUUUUGGCGGGGACGAUAAUGACGGUACCCGCAGAAUAAGCCCCGGCUAACUUCGUGCCAGCAGCCGCGGUAAUACGAAGGGGGCUAGCGUUGUUCGGAAUUACUGGGCGUAAAGCGCACGUAGGCGGACUGAUAAGUCAGGGGUGAAAUCCCGGGGCUCAACCUCGGAACUGCCUUUGAUACUGUUAGUCUCGAGUCCGGAAGAGGUGAGUGGAAUUCCUAGUGUAGAGGUGAAAUUCGUAGAUAUUAGGAAGAACACCAGUGGCGAAGGCGGCUCACUGGUCCGGUACUGACGCUGAGGUGCGAAAGCGUGGGGAGCAAACAGGAUUAGAUACCCCAGUAGUCCCUGAGCGGGCUGGCAAGGCGCAU